CCACUGAUUUGUUUUAAAGGGCCGCGGUAUAUUGACCGUGCGAAGGUAGCAUAAUCAUUAGUCUUUUAAUUGGAGGCUUGUAUGAAUGGUUGGACAAAAAGUAAGCUGUCUCGGUUAUAAUAAUUGAACUUAACUUUUAAGUGAAAAGGCUUAAAUGUUUCAGGGGGACGAUAAGACCCUAUAAAGCUUGACAAUAAUUUCGUUAUAUUAUAAAUUGUUAGUAUAACUUGAUUUUAACGGGAGUUUGUUUCGUUGGGGCGACGGGAAUAUAAUAAAUAACUGUUCUUUUAAAUAUAAUUACAAAAAUACUUGGUAAAUAAUUGAUCCUCUAUUAGAGAUUAAAAGAUUAAGUUACUUUAGGGAUAACAGCGUAAUCUUCUUUGAGAGUCCACAUCGACAAGAAGGUUUGCGACCUCGAUGUUGAAUUAAGGUAUCCUUAUAAUGCAGCAGUUAUAAAGGAGGGUCUGUUCGACCUUUAAAUCCUUACGUGAUCUG
Molecule: ribosomal RNA, 495 nt
Filed under: Penaeus japonicus
Lineage: Eukaryota; Metazoa; Arthropoda; Malacostraca; Decapoda; Penaeidae
Description: partial 16S ribosomal RNA
Rfam family: Bacterial large subunit ribosomal RNA
Source: RNAcentral